This 253-nucleotide ribosomal RNA is filed under the name uncultured prokaryote. Its description in RNAcentral is "partial 16S ribosomal RNA". It matches the Rfam family "Bacterial small subunit ribosomal RNA", at positions 525 to 777 of the family's 1533-position model. The record is from RNAcentral.
ACGUAGGGCGCGAGCGUUGUCCGGAUUUAUUGGGCGUAAAGAGGUCGUAGGCGGCUUGUCGCGUCAGCUGUGAAAACCCGCGGCUCGACUGUGGGCUUGCAGCUGAUACGGGCAGGCUUGAGUUCGGUAGGGGAGACUGGAAUUCCUGGUGUAGCGGUGAAAUGCGCAGAUAUCAGGAGGAACACCAGAGGCGAAGGCGGCGACCUGGACAGAUACUGACACUCAACUGCGAAAGCGUGGGGAGCAAACAGGA